This 431-nucleotide ribosomal RNA is filed under the name uncultured bacterium. Its description in RNAcentral is "bacterial SSU rRNA". It matches the Rfam family "Bacterial small subunit ribosomal RNA", at positions 958 to 1392 of the family's 1533-position model. The record is from RNAcentral.
AACGCGAAGAACCUUACCAGGGUUUGACAUCCUACUAACGAAGCAGAGAUGCAUUAGGUGCCCUUCGGGGAAAGUAGAGACAGGUGGUGCAUGGUUGUCGUCAGCUCGUGUCGUGAGAUGUUGGGUUAAGUCCCGCAACGAGCGCAACCCUUAUUGUUAGUUGCUACGCAAGAGCACUCUAGCGAGACUGCCGUUGACAAAACGGAGGAAGGUGGGGACGACGUCAAAUCAUCAUGCCCCUUAUAUCCUGGGCGACACACGUAAUACAAUGGCGGUCAACAGAGGGAUGCGAAGCCGUGAGGUGGAGCAAAUCCCCAAAAGCCGUCUCAGUUCGGAUCGCAGGCUGCAACCCGCCUGCGUGAAGUCGGAAUCGCUAGUAAUCGCGGAUCAGCAUGCCGCGGUGAAUACGUUCCCGGGUCUUGUACACACCG